UUUAUCUAAAAACAUAAAUUUAAGUGUUUCAACUGUAAAUUAUAUUAGAGAGAAAGCAAAACAAAUGCAGAAUGCACAAAAGCCACAUGCAGCAUGUGCGAAAAGUUUCCAUUUAUCACUGUAAAAUUAUGUAAUUAAAUUCGAAUAUGUAAGCAAUAUAAAAGUUUAAAAAAAAAAAAAAAAAAAAAAAAAAGUGAGCAAAAAAAGAAAACUCAAGGCAUCACAACGCAGUUUCAGGCAAGCUAACAAAAACAAACUAAAAACAAUCUUAGAAUUCAUUAGCACCCACAAAAGAACUUUAACUCUCCAGAGCUCCCUACAUUUUAGAAGAAAUUUCAAGCAAAACUCAAGUAAAG
Long non-coding RNA from Drosophila arizonae, 356 nucleotides. Lineage: Eukaryota; Metazoa; Arthropoda; Insecta; Diptera; Drosophilidae. The record is from RefSeq and is a predicted model, not a curated record.